Molecule: long non-coding RNA, 504 nt
Filed under: Homo sapiens (human)
Lineage: Eukaryota; Metazoa; Chordata; Mammalia; Primates; Hominidae
Description: non-protein coding lnc-NTN3-1:1
Source: RNAcentral
ACAUGGAGGACUUAUUGGGGAGUGCUUGCUCUACUUAGAAGCCUGUCUUUCCCUGUGAAGAGGGCGGGAGCCACGCUGUUCAUCUUUGCUUCCCCACAGCCUGGCCAGGGCCGGACCAGAGGUUUUCUCUACAUGAUGGUUGAAGUGGAUCAAGGUCCUUUUGUCGGAGUGAUAGAUGUCAACUAUUGCAGUGGCUUUCCACUGGGUUGAGGGUGACCUUCCGAGAUGCAGAAGUAAUCUAGGCAAGGUUUUCAUAACAACAAUAAAUUUGGCCACCCAGGGUCUGUGAAGUCACCUGUAGGGUAGCCUUACUAGCUCUCGCUGACCACACCUGCCAGGAGUGUCCAGCAGGCUCGAGUGACCUUGGGCAUGCAGUGUUGCUCUUAAUUAUCUACAGAUUGAGCCAAGCUCAGAAAACAUAUUAAAUGUUUGCCUUUAGAUGGUUUCUGGUUUAAAGUACAUAAGGACAAUGAAGCAGGUUACAAAAAAAGCACUUAACAUUUA